AGAAUAACUUAUAAAAAAAUGGAAUGUAGUUCGCGUCAUAAAAGACGGCUUUUAAAAGCUGAAAAAGAAGAUUUUGUCAAAAGACUAUUUAGUUCAAGUGUUGAGUGUGAACAAAUUGAAGUAGAAAAAAAUGCCGAAGCAGAUUCAGAUUCAAUAGUUGAAAUAGAAGGGACAGAAAAUGAUUAUUACAAUGCAAAUGAAGAAUUUGACAAAAGAAACAACUUUAUAAGUGCUUUAGGGCAAUGGCAGUUAAAAAGCCGGACAUCCAACCAGAACAUGAGAGAACUGCUAAUAAUUUUAAAAAAUUAUGGUUUGGAUGUGCCUCUCUCUCCAAUGACACUGGUGCAAAAAGUUAGUUCGAGGGCAGAUAUAAUUUCUGUUCCUCCUGGUGAAUAUGCACAUUUCGGCCUGAAACAAAAUUUAAUGAAAGCAGCACAAAUUUUACAAAAAUAUGAGGAAAUAAUUUGCGAUAUUAAUAUUGAUGGUUUACCCAUCUUUAAAAGCUCAAAUCUUCAACUUUGGCCAAUAUUAAUUAAAGUUAUUAAUAUUAGAAAUAUAAAGGUGUUUCCUGUUGGUAUUUAUAAGGGCAAACAGAAACCUCAUGAUAUAAGUCAGUUCCUAGAAAAACUCGUUGAAGAAAUUUGCGAUUUACAGGAAAAUCACUUGUUUAUUGGUGGCAAAAAAAUUAGUUUUAAAAUAAGAGCUGUGAUUUGUGAUGCUCCCGCAAAAUCAUUCAUUUGUGGGAUAGCUCACCAUUCAUCUGCAAAUGGUUGUUCAAAAUGUACCCAAGUGGCCAAAAAAAUAUGCAAUGUUUUAACUUAUAGUUCAGAAGUAGGUACAAUUAUAGACGAUGACGACUUUGCUAAAAGGAAAUAUAAAAAUCAUCACCAAUUAAAAUUUAUUGAAACCAAAACACCAUUGGAGAAAAUAAAUUUAAAUAUGAUAAGUCAAGUUCCUUUAGACCCAAUGCACGUUAUUGAUUUAGGGGUAACUAGGAAAAUGUUGAUGAAACUAGUAAAAAAUAAAGUGAAUGAAAAAAUUUCAAUUUCGAAUAAGGGAAAUAUAUCUAAAUUACUAGUUUCAUUAAAAAAGUGUAUUACUAAAGACUUCACAAGAAUGCCUCGUAGUUUGGAUGAACUUGCGAACUGGAAAGCUACAGAAUUUCGUCAAUUCUUACUAUACACUGGUGUUUUAGUCUUAAAAAACAAUGUUGGUGAUGAUUUUUAUUACACGUUUUUAGUCUUUCAUUGUGCUAUAAGGCUUUUGUCAUGUCCAAAAAACUUUGAAAAUAACAUUGCUGCCGCCGAAGAUUUGUUGAAACUCUUUGUUGAAAAUUUCAGUGUCGUUUUUGGUCCUCAAAACGUUACCUAUAAUGUGCACAGUUUGCUUCAUAUAUGUGAAUGCGUCAAACAGCACGGUUUGCUGUACAGCUUUUCAGCAUAUGAUUUUGAGAACCAUUUGCAAAUGAUAAAAAAAGAUGUUCGCAAACCGACUGAUAUUCUAAAUCAAUUACACAGAAGAAAUGUCUUGCAAAAUUUAAUAGAAGAGCCAAAAACAUUGGGGUUAAAAGAAAAAAAUGGACUUAUUUAUGGUUACUUGGGUGAUGAAUACUGGUUGAGCAUUAAAACACCAGAUAACAUUUGUCUUGUAAUGCCAUUUACCCCGUUAAAAAUUACAGGCUUCAAACGAGGAGAGAAUAAUAAAAUUUUUUUUAAAGCGAGACGUUUCAAAAAUAUUUGUCCUUUUUUUGAAGAGCCAUUGGACUCAUUAUCAGCAUUAGGUAUAUGUAUUGCUGAUAAGAUAUUAGAAGAUAGUGAGGAAAUAUUUAAUAUUGAAAAUAUUAAUUGCAAACUAAUAUCAUUGCCCUUUGAAAAUAAAGUGGUUUUAAUGCCAAUUCUUCAUAGUUGCAUUUAAAGUUGCAAAAAUUAACGUCUCAUUUAUUUAAUAUAGCCAACACUUUUAAUCUACGCAAUUCUAACUGAUAUCUUCGCAAUUCGACAAUAUUUAAAAUGGAGGGCAGAAAUCUUAAACAUCUAAAUACUUGCAACAGACUUUCUAAUUAUAGUGCCAAAGAAACGCCAUGCUGUUCUUGCAUAGAACUCAAAGAAAUGAUGGCUGGGAUGAUGACUGAACAAAAAAAAUUACAGGAACAGCUCUCAAAAUUACAAACAACAACAGAACAGCAAAACAAAAUAAUAGUGGAAAUGUUAGCAGAGCACAAAUUACAGCUGCAAACCCUCAAUAAGUCCCAGAAAAAUGUUACUUCCCUGUCAAGCAAAUUUCCCCUCAAAUCCGAAGAAGAUCUCCAAAAAGUUGAGAGUGAAAUAUGCGAUUCGAAUGAAGAAAAAUAUAUAUCUGCUGUAAAGUAUUUAAUCGAUGGCAGCGCAAUAAAAAAUUUGGAACGCAUUUUUUCCCGGGAGAUUUGCGUAAUGUACAAUACGGAUGGUAUUUGUGGGAAAAAAUGUUUGAAGAAUUUUAAAAGAAUAUAUAAAAUUGUUAUUGGUAACUGCAAUAAGUGACUAUUCCCCCAAUAGCGAAAAAGAAUUUCGAGCAGCACUCCAAGUCGUAAAAAAAAGGCACUUCCGAGUUGUUUGUUCCCAAAACAAAAACAAAAAUUAAUUAUAUAAUUUGUUAAUUACAUGUAAUUUUUAAUUUUUUUAAUGACAGUGAAUUGGAAUAUUACUUAAGUUUUUUUAAUGAAUUUAUUAUUACUUAUAUUAUUUAUCUCACUAAAGACUAUCAAUGUACCUGCAGAAUGAAAUAUUUAUUUUUAUGUUUUAUAGAAUAAAACACUAAUACUUAUAGUACAUUA
Molecule: RNA transcript, 2812 nt
Organism: Musca vetustissima
Lineage: Eukaryota; Metazoa; Arthropoda; Insecta; Diptera; Muscidae
Exons: 6
Source: RefSeq, a predicted model, not a curated record